UGGGGAAUCUUCCGCAAUGGGCGAAAGCCUGACGGAGCAACGCCGCGUGAACGAUGAAGGUCUUAGGAUCGUAAAGUUCUGUUGUUAGGGACGAAGGAUAAGGAUUAUAAUACAGUCUUUGUUUGACGGUACCUAACGAGGAAGCCACGGCUAACUACGUGCCAGCAGCCGCGGUAAUACGUAGGCGGCAAGCGUUGUCCGGAAUUAUUGGGCGUAAAGGGAGCGCAGGCGGGAAACUAAGCGGAUCUUAAAAGUGCGGGGCUCAACCCCGUGAUGGGGUCCGAACUGGUUUUCUUGAGUGCAGGAGAGGAAAGCGGAAUUCCCAGUGUAGCGGUGAAAUGCGUAGAUAUUGGGAAGAACACCAGUGGCGAAGGCGGCUUUCUGGACUGUAACUGACGCUGAGGCUCGAAAGUGUGGGUAUCAAACA
Molecule: ribosomal RNA, 427 nt
Filed under: uncultured bacterium
Lineage: Bacteria
Description: bacterial SSU rRNA
Rfam family: Bacterial small subunit ribosomal RNA
Source: RNAcentral